GACGAACGCUGGCGGCGUGCUUAACACAUGCAAGUCGAACGGAAAGGCCCUGCUUUUGUGGGGUGCUCGAGUGGCGAACGGGUGAGUAACACGUGAGUAACCUGCCCUUGACUUUGGGAUAACUUCAGGAAACUGGGGCUAAUACCGGAUAGGAGCUCCUGCUGCAUGGUGGGGGUUGGAAAGUUUCGGCUGUUGGGGAUGGACUCGCGGCUUAUCAGCUUGUUGGUGGGGUAGUGGCUUACCAAGGCUUUGACGGGUAGCCGGCCUGAGAGGGUGACCGGCCACAUUGGGACUGAGAUACGGCCCAGACUCCUACGGGAGGCAGCAGUGAGGAAUAUUGCACAAUGGGCGGAAGCCUGAUGCAGCAACGCCGCGUGCGGGAUGACGGCCUUCGGGUUGUAAACCGCGUUCGCCUGUGACGAAGCGUGAGUGACGGUAAUGGGUAAAGAAGCACCGGCUAACUACGUG
This 468-nucleotide ribosomal RNA is filed under the name uncultured bacterium. RNAcentral's name for it is "partial 16S ribosomal RNA". It matches the Rfam family "Bacterial small subunit ribosomal RNA", at positions 28 to 507 of the family's 1533-position model. The record is from RNAcentral.